CAGAAGAUAUUGCAAGAUUUCCUAUGGGUCAUGGUGGUCUGUUUUGUUUUUAUUGUUUGCUACUUUAAAAAAAGAAACUUAACCUAAGCUCCCCUUGGUGUGGAUGGAGAGAGGAAGGCACUUCCAGAAGGUGAACCACGAGGUCUCUCAUGUACAGAGGGCGUUGCUGUGCACUGUUUGCCAAUACAGGGUUAGAGAUCCCACAGAAACCUCUGGACAGCUGCAGGGUCAGCCCUCCUCUUCUUGUCCCAAGGAGACAUGGUGAAUAGCUUAUUGGUUUCCUCAAGUCGUGUUUUUUUUCAAUCUGAGGUCAACUCAAUGAUGGGAAAUGAUUUGCCACACUCUCUCUGUCUGCAUAAUGUCUUCUUAGACAAAAGGUAUGGUUGUGCUACUGUUACGAGCAAAUGUAAUUAACACAGGAGCCCAUUUAUGUAAACUACAUUAACUACUACAUUGGAUGCUGAAAAUCACAGAUUCCAUGGAGUUGGAGACUCUUUGACAUAUUUCACCUUUCCCUACAAUCCUUCUCCAGUUUUUCCUCUUAUGUUUCACAGGUGAUUUUGUCUAUCCCACAAGAGCUUGUGAACUUGCUUCCUCUCCAGCUAAU
This is a long non-coding RNA of Tyto alba (common barn owl), 607 nucleotides long. RefSeq lists it as uncharacterized. Lineage: Eukaryota; Metazoa; Chordata; Aves; Strigiformes; Tytonidae. The transcript has 3 exons. The record is from RefSeq and is a predicted model, not a curated record.